Molecule: ribosomal RNA, 253 nt
Filed under: uncultured bacterium
Lineage: Bacteria
Description: partial 16S ribosomal RNA
Rfam family: Bacterial small subunit ribosomal RNA
Source: RNAcentral
UACGGGAGGGGCAAGCGUUGUUCGGAAUUACUGGGCGUAAAGGGCUCGUAGGCGGCCAACUAAGUCAGACGUGAAAUCCCUCGGCUUAACCGGGGAACUGCGUCUGAUACUGGAUGGCUUGAAUCCGGGAGAGGGAUGCGGAAUUCCAGGUGUAGCGGUGAAAUGCGUAGAUAUCUGGAGGAACACCGGUGGCGAAGGCGGCAUCCUGGACCGGCAUUGACGCUGAGGAGCGAAAGCGUGGGGAGCGAACAGG